UCCCCGGUGGCUCAAUGGUAGAGCGGGUGGCUGUUAACCACUAGGCUGGCGGUUCAAGUCCGUCCCGGGGAG
Molecule: transfer RNA, 72 nt
Filed under: Candidatus Tariuqbacter arcticus
Lineage: Bacteria; Pseudomonadati; Candidatus Electryoneota; Candidatus Tariuqbacteria; Candidatus Tariuqbacterales; Candidatus Tariuqbacteraceae
Description: tRNA-Asn
Rfam family: tRNA
About the family: Transfer RNA (tRNA) molecules are approximately 80 nucleotides in length. Their secondary structure includes four short double-helical elements and three loops (D, anti-codon, and T loops).
Source: RNAcentral